UACGUAGGGGGCAAGCGUUGCUCGGAUUGACUGGGCGUAAAGGGCGCGUAGGCGGUUCGUACAGUCAGACGUGAAAUUCCUGGGCUCAACCUGGGGGCUGCGUUUGAUACGUGCGGACUUGAGUGCGGAAGAGGGUCGUGGAAUUCCCAGUGUAGAGGUGAAAUUCGUAGAUAUUGGGAAGAACACCGGUGGCGAAGGCGGCGACCUGGGCCAGUACUGACACUGAGGAGCGAAAGCGUGGGUAGCAAACAGG
Molecule: ribosomal RNA, 253 nt
Filed under: uncultured bacterium
Lineage: Bacteria
Description: partial 16S ribosomal RNA
Rfam family: Bacterial small subunit ribosomal RNA
Source: RNAcentral